This 443-nucleotide ribosomal RNA is filed under the name Salmonella enterica subsp. enterica serovar Derby. RNAcentral's name for it is "partial 23S ribosomal RNA". It matches the Rfam family "Bacterial large subunit ribosomal RNA", at positions 454 to 798 of the family's 2925-position model. Lineage: Bacteria; Pseudomonadati; Pseudomonadota; Gammaproteobacteria; Enterobacterales; Enterobacteriaceae. The record is from RNAcentral.
CAUCCUCCAAGGCUAAAUACUCCUGACUGACCGAUAGUGAACCAGUACCGUGAGGGAAAGGCGAAAAGAACCCCGGCGAGGGGAGUGAAAAAGAACCUGAAACCGUGUACGUACAAGCAGUGGGAGCCCCACCACUAAGCCAGUGGUGAACUCCACAUACGCAUCCUUUGCUGAGGAUACGGUUAACGGAGCGCAAGCGACGUUCAACCGCAAAAGAAGCAGAGGGGGCUUAGUGGUGGGGUGACUGCGUACCUUUUGUAUAAUGGGUCAGCGACUUAUAUUCUGUAGCAAGGUUAACCGUAUAGGGGAGCCGGAGGGAAACCGAGUCUUAAUUGGGCGUUAAGUUGCAGGGUAUAGACCCGAAACCCGGUGAUCUAGCCAUGGGCAGGUUGAAGGUUGGGUAACACUAACUGGAGGACCGAACCGACUAAUGUUGAAAAAGU